CCUUAGCCCUGAUAGAAGUGGAAAUCCUUUUGUGAAGCUUUAGCGGAACAAAAGAUUGAAACGGAUAGCAGGAAAUAGC
Molecule: small RNA, 79 nt
Organism: Oryza sativa Indica Group (long-grained rice)
Lineage: Eukaryota; Viridiplantae; Streptophyta; Magnoliopsida; Poales; Poaceae
Rfam family: Flavo-1 RNA
Source: Rfam